GUCACAGGAAUGCACAGGUACAGCGUCACUUCCCGAUGAUGUCACUAUUUUUGCUUGGUGGAAGAGAGAGAAGAGAAUGUCACCUGUGGAUGAUUCAUCUUCGCAGCAGCUGGUUUGGUCCAGGUGUCUGGCCCCAGGGAGAAGCUUCUGUGUUUGGAGGUUGUGCAGACAUGAGUUCCAAGCUGAGAAGCUGUGCGACUAUGGGAGAGGGAUCUUCUGUCUGCACAGUGCAGCUGUCAGCCUUCCCUACAGAAGCGGUAAGGCGAUGAAGUCCUUGUGGGGACUUCAAGACUCCUUUUGUAUCUUCCUGGAGUCUGCACACCUGACUUGCUCACGGCCCAAUUGAUUUUAGAGAUUGACAAUCCGCACAUACUCUGUUACAGAACCCACGUGGCUGGAGCACUGGGGAGAGCAUUAUCUCCAGCUUCGCUGAACUUCCCACAUGUAGCCUUUGAAAUUUUUCCCGCUCAACGGUCUACCCCACUCCACUGCAGCCUUGAAAGAAGAUGUCUGAAAGUAGUCUAUUUUUAGUACGGAGCUGGUUGUGAAGAGAUCAUGAGUGGGAGAACUGGUUUCAGGGAAACUUGCAUGUCCUCAAGCUGCCCUUUGGUUGUGUGCCCCACCCCUGCAGCCGUACACCCCUCUCCACGUUGUCAUUUUUAAAAAGUUGUACUCUGUUGCUAUUUGGAAUAAAUGUCUCAGUUCCCG
RNAcentral lists this long non-coding RNA (708 nucleotides) under Mus spicilegus (steppe mouse). Its description in RNAcentral is "lncRNA (ENSMSIG00000000244.1)". The record is from RNAcentral. Lineage: Eukaryota; Metazoa; Chordata; Mammalia; Rodentia; Muridae.